This 253-nucleotide ribosomal RNA is filed under the name uncultured bacterium. Its description in RNAcentral is "partial 16S ribosomal RNA". It matches the Rfam family "Bacterial small subunit ribosomal RNA", at positions 524 to 776 of the family's 1533-position model. The record is from RNAcentral.
UACGGAGGGAGCUAGCGUUGUUCGGAUUUACUGGGCGUAAAGCGCGCGUAGGCGGCUUUGUAAGUCAGAGGUGAAAUCCCGGAGCUCAACUCCGGAACUGCUUUUGAAACUGCAUCGCUUGAAUCCGGGAGAGGUGAGUGGAAUUCCGAGUGUAGAGGUGAAAUUCGUAGAUAUUCGCAAGAACACCAGUGGCGAAGGCGGCUCACUGGCCCGGUACUGACGCUGAGGCACGAAAGCGUGGGGAGCAAACAGG